UUUACCAAUUCACUAGUAUAUACUGUACAUGUAUUCUCUUAACUCUUAUUGACUCACAGAUUGAUAAAGGAGUGUACAUAUCAAGGAAGCUAUUGUUUGCUGCUAUGCUGUUGAGAGUCAGUGGAUUGUGGACUAAAGGGGAAACUGUCAAGAGUGGAGUGCAUGGUGACUGGCUCUACCAGUGUGGAUUGUGUUUAGAUCAGCCUCAUUGCAAUUCUUCCUAUUCAUGCAAGUCAGUUCAGAGAUAUGGGAGUUUGAUCCCAAUGGUGAUACUUACUUUGAUUAAGUAGUUGAUGGUUUUUGAAGGAUCUCUUCUCCGUUUGGAAGGUACAGUACAUGCAGUGUGUGUAUUGAUGGACACAUUCAUUGCACAUGAACA
Molecule: long non-coding RNA, 379 nt
Organism: Amphimedon queenslandica
Lineage: Eukaryota; Metazoa; Porifera; Demospongiae; Haplosclerida; Niphatidae
Exons: 3
Source: RefSeq, a predicted model, not a curated record